UAAUUACUCCAGUAGUUAUUUAGACAACUCACAAUUGCCUGAUUUGAGCACACAGUUGGAGGAUGUGCCAAAGGCAGGUGCAUACUUUUUUUUCUUUUUUUAAUUUAACAGUAGCACAAAUCUACAGGUUUAAUUCUUUACAUUGCCCUUUUGCCUCCCAAGAGAAUGCUACUUAUGCAUGUGUUCUUAUAUAAAAUGCAGUGUAUUACAAAGGCAGAAAAUACGUAUUUCCACAUGUUUAUAGUGGACUGGUCACUGUGAUAUAUACAGACUGACUGUAGAUGACUGUAUGAAUUCUAAAUCAAAUGCUGUGCCCUGUAUUGGACUAAAAUACAAUUUCAGUAUCGAGCUGUUAAGUAUUCAAAGCAUAUUUUNAUGGGCAUGGUGGGGAUGGGUCAACAGUUGGACUGGAUCAUCUCAGAGGUCUUUUCCAACAUUAACAAUUCUAUGAUAAAUAUGUAUGUUACAGCUCUUCUGGCAAGUAAAACAAACCCUCCAGUGCUAAGUGGUCCUCUAAAAUAGCUCACAUGCUUUUAGAUCUUAUAAUGAAUGCCCAAGCAGUGUUAAAGCAGCGUCCUUGGCAGCCACAGGCCUCUGUCACCAGGCAGGAAGCACCUGGUCAGCCUGAGUGCCAGCAAACAAAGCUCAGCACAUCAUUUAGAACGUUCCAGCACUGCGCUGGUUUGUGACAUUCACGUCCUCCUUCUAUGAGGAAGUUUCCUGAGUGGUGUGAAUCCAGCCAGCUGCUUCCAGGGAGAGCUGCACUGAACUCAUUUCAAACUACCUCAUUUUAAGCCACUCUGGGUAUGUUUUAUGUACAUAACAGACCCUGGGCAUCCUUAGAGGGCGAAUGGCACCCAAAAAGAAGAAAAAAAAAAAAGAAAAAAAAAGGAAAACUUCCUAAUUUCAAUAAACCCCAGCGCCCCGUUCUGCUGCUGCUGCCUCCGAGGGCUCGCAAGGAGCGGGCGGCAAGGGAGCUGCGCCACUGCCCAUGCCAAAGCCCGACCCGACCCCUUCCUCCUCGUCCUCCUCCGCCCCGCCAGGCUGCCGCCUUCCCGGGUGCCCCUCAGCCCCCCGCUUGCCCCAGUGCCGCGCAGGGAGCGGGGAGCAGGAAGCGAGACCCAGGAGCGGAGAGCAGCAACCACAAUCCAAAGGCUGCCGCGGCCUCACCGCCGCCUUGCGCGCCUGCGCGCAGGGAGAGGAGAAGGGGGGCGGGUGGGAGGCGGUGCUAUCGCGCGUCUCCGCGUGCAGGCAGGGAGCCCUUCCCCUUCCCUUCUCUUCCUUUCCCUUCCCCGGGCCUCCCCCACCGCCUCCCCCUGCCCCGCGUCCCUCGCAGGGCGCCGGGCCGGCGCGGGGGUCUGCGAGCAGCGCAGGGAGGGAGGGAGGGAGGCAGGGAGGGAGCGGGGAGAGAGAGAAAGAGAAAGAGAGAGAGAGAGAGAGAGGCUGAGCCAGAUCUUCAUGCCACUGCAGGCAGCAGCAGCAGCAGCAAAACUUCUGAAGGUUUGCAGAAGAUAGUAAGAGAACCACCAAGAAGGCUGUGGCAGUAUUAUAAAUAUCUUUCACUAUAUGGGGUAGAUGUGUUUUGGUUUGGUUUUCUUCUUUCAUCUGAAAGAGCAUUAGUGCAGUUGCAUGGUUCAACAUUCGUAUAGUAAAUCAUGAAUUUUAGCUUUACUAUUGAACACCACCAGCCUGUUUUGUGAAAGAUUUUCGGUAGUAAGCACACAUGUUUCUUUUCUAUUUUUCAUUUUUUCAUUCUUUUAUCCUUUUAAGCAAAACAUGGGUUCUCAGCUUUUCAUAAUGUAAGUUGCAUUGUGAUAUUUGGGGUUUUACAUUCUCUCCCUUUCUGCUUAUCUCUUUUUUUCUCUGAUUUUAACAAGGCCACCUGACAUUAGGUCAUCGUGAUACCUGGUGUUUUUUUCUGGAGUGGAAACANACUAAAUAAAUGUAUCAAUUUGUCAUAGCUCCACCCACAAAAAAUUCCAUCUGAUUUGUAACUUUUCUCCCAUCAGGCAUGUGUUUCAAAAAUCGCACGAUGGAAUCAGUCACUGACUCUGUGUCCCGGGCAAGGCUUGCACAAGCAGCUGUUGUUCUCCCUCCAGUGACCUGGGCUGGGCAACCUAGCGUCUGCCUCUGUUUUCUUUUCGGUGACCCAAGCCAGAUUUCUUCAAAGCCUAUUGCUGAUACUUUCCCUGCAGCCACUCAUGCUAAUUUCCUUUACAUGCUGCAGCUGGUUUUGAAACAUCUAUUCCGUUUUUCUAGUCUGAGUCACUCUUUCUGUAGAUUUAAAUANGGAAUGGUUUGGGUUGGAAGGGGCCUUUAAGAUCAUCUAGUUCCAACCCAUGUCAGGUGUCCACCAGGAUGCCCAGGUCCUUUUCCGCAAAGCUGCUUUCUAGCCGCUUGGCUUCGGGGUUGUUCUUACUCAGGGGUAGAACUUUGCACUUACCUUUGAACUUCAUGAAAUUCCUGCUGGCUUGUUUCUGCAGCCUGUCAAGGUGCUCUUGAAUAGCAGCACAAACAUCUUCUGUAUCAACAGUUCCUCCCAGCUUUGUAUUAUGUGCAAACUUACUGAGACUGAAUUGUCAUCCAAGUCAUUAAUGAAGUUUUUACACAGUACUGGUUGCAGUACUAACCCUUGGAGCACGCUGCUGGUGGCACCUGGACUUCAUGCCACCAGUUACAACCUCCUGAGCCCAACAGUUUGGCCAGCUGUUUAGCCUUUACUUCAUCAGUGUUAAAAGCUUUACUUGAGGUAAACAGUAUACAGUGCUCUCCAUUGUCCCCAGACCUGGUCAUUUUGUUGUAGGUAGAGGAAUAUCAGUUUAGAUAUGACUUGCCCUUCAUAAGUCGGUGUUUACCUGGUAAGCAUGAUCACUUGCAUAAGGGAUUGUUCCAGUAAGAAACAAAGUUGUUAAAUAUAAGAUGAAACUGUUCCUUUUCAAAAGGAAGAAGAGGUACAAUAUAUGGAAUAGGUUAGAAAAACAGUUUUCUAAUAUUAGGAAUUAGUAAUUGUCCUGAUAAUGUAGAGGGGAUUGGGGUAGAGAUUUUGUUUCAACACAAGUAUUGUAUAUGAAACAAGAGAUUAGCAGAUAUUUUGCUAAAAAGCUUAGAAAAUUGCAACUAAAUAUUUUUCAUUUGUUCAUGCAUUAUUAACAGUUCUUCUGUGAAAACAUGAUCAUCCUCAGUAUAUCUUUUUGACAAGCUAUUCCACAAAAAUUUCUACUAACAGAUGAUUAAAUGUAUGGAAGAAAGAGUAGGGGAGAAAGGGAUAACAUGAAAGAAUUGCUAAAAAUUUUCUGAUGCAAGGUUUCACUUUUGUCACUGAUUAUUUUCUAAGUCUUUCUCAGUCUUCUGUCUUCAGUUUUACUUUUUAAAUAUAUUGUUGGUGUUAGAACUACAACUGAAGUUUUGUGAUGGCUUUUUUUUUAGGAACUUUAGAGUAGAACUGUUAGAGCAUGCUGGAGUCCUCGUAUUUGGUAGUAUGUGGAGCUUCAGAAGGUGAAGAGAGCAGCGCAAUGGAGAUGCAUAGUAGAACAUCAGAGAACAAAGCUUUCUUGCAUUGUUCUCAAGUAGAUAAUGCGCCCAUGAUCUUAAUAACUUAAGAACAGCAGAAACACAGCAGAAGUGCAUUCCGUUCAUUCUGAGAGCGCUACUUGUUCUUUAUGGUUGUGUCUACUAACCUGUUAGCUGAAAUGUUUAGCAGUUAGAUUGGUGAUUGAGUGAGAACUCAGCCAUUUGUUGUGCUGAUUACAAGAGUAGCUUACUCCAUGAGUCUGAGCAUUUCCUUACAUAGAGCAUGAUUUUUCACUGAACAGUUGUGUGUUUUAUUUGUCGUAUAUGAGGGCUGCUCUGGAAGUAAUGCCUCCUAUUUUAUUAUGUUGGUCCACAAUGUCAGAGGUGGAUGUUGGUGGUUUAGCAGUAGAAUCUGAGCCUUCCCAAAAAUAUUCCAUUACAACUCCUCCAAUGCAUUUUUUGGUGACCAGCUGUCACUCUGAAGCAAUUUUGCAUGGGUGUGAACAAACUCGGGAAAUUAAGUCAGGGCACACAGUUGUUUGUUUUUAAACCUAGAAAGAAACCAAUACAGCAGUAAAACUUUGUUAUACUCAUACUAAGGAAAAUUUUGUCCAAGUCUAUUUUUUGUCUGAGUGAAAAAGUCCAUGUGCUUGUUCAAAAAAGAUUCUAUAGUAAGUUGACUUCAAAAGGUAAAUGACAAUUAUGUACAGCUUUCUGGAUCCUUUUAUUUAUAGGACUUAUAUCGAGAGUGUACAAGCAACUGGCAGAAUACUUUGUAAUUUUAUUUAUUUGUACACAGUAAGUACUUCCUUAUGAAUCUAAGUAACUGACACUAAGGCCAAAUGCAUUUGGCUCAGUGAUUGAUUGCAGAGAUCAAGUGUAUUUUUAUCUUUGGUAGCUUUCCUGAGAUAUGCUCCGUCUGCUGAGUUCUAAGUUCUCUCAAUUCUUUCUUGGCCCAACUGCUGGGGAAUGCCUAAAUACCUUCCUUAUGAUUUUGUUUAUCCAGCUUGUGUUUUAUUUACAUAGAAGCAUCAUCCUCUGAAAAUUUUUAGGAGAUUGAGUUCAUCUCAUUCUUGCUUGCUUGCAGCAGAUAAUGCGUGUGAAGAUAGGACAUACCCUGCUGUACAGUAGAAAUGGAAUACAGGUGUUUGCAGUCACACUAAAAAGAAGAAUUGAUAUUUGAGAAAAACAUACAAUAAUUAAUUGUUUUCAAAUAAAUCAUCUUCAGUUUCCUGUAUUUGUAAAAAUUUUGCACACUGUUAAAAGUAGUUUGCAAAUAUAUUUGUGAUUUGUAUGUCAGCUAUUUUGGACUUGUAGUUCAUUCUGUACUUUUCACUAUAUUGAGAUUAAUGAUGAGAAAAAGAGUAAGGCAUUUUUGUUAUGGCCAAUUUAUUUCAUUUCAGACUGUAUUAUCAUUUGGUGAAAGCCCUAUUGAUUAGCCUUCAUAGCUUUACAGAGCUUUUCUUCUAAGCACUUAAAGUUUGAGUUGUCUCAGUCCCAUAGGACUGAAAGAAAGCUGUUAGUACCAUGAAAUUCUUCUUCUGUGUGUUUCCAGCAGCUNUCAGAAUUGUAUGAGUUGAUCUUAAAAUAUGCUGCAGCUGAGUGAUGAUGAAGAGAUAAAUAAUUGAUAAACUUUUAGUUACUGUUAGAGCAGAGUAGAGUUUUCCAGCUAACGGAAGAGGUGGUAGUGUUUUUUCUGAGAAUGCUGCCAAGUACCGUGUUAGCAUCAACAGAGUGUAAGAGUGUUGCUAAGCUACAGAGUAGAUUGGCCAAUUGUUGAUUUAAAAAAAGAAAAAAGUUCUCUUCACCUAUCCAGUCUCUUCUUAUCAGCCAGCUGUUUGUCUGAGCUGUUUUCCUCCAAGUCCUUCAAAAUGCUGACCUGAUAACAAGCAUCAGUUGGAACACUGUAUUUGUAUAAUGGUACUCCUAUGUCUGUGUCACUGACCAGCUCACAGAACAGCCACANAUUACCGUUCUUUUUGAGUUGAAAUCUACUUCAUUAUAGAAUAGUGUAGGCUGCUAACUGGAACCUGGCUGCAGUUAUCUCUUUGCACUUCACUCUUGGCUGAAUAUUAACAUUGUAGAUAUUUCAGACUUAUUUUCUAUUUCAUAAUAGAAUUCAGACUGAUUAAUAUAAUGUACAUCUGGAAAAACAUAAAUAUGCUCUUUGACCUUGUCUUCUCUUGAUGAAGAUGUGUAUAAUGAGGUGUAACUUUGUUAAGAUUCUGUAUUGUUACUUACCCAUUGUAGAUGUGUUUUGCAGGAAAGAGACACAAGACGUGGGCAUUUGGUUUCUAAUUUCUGCAUUCAGUUUGCCUGUAUCAUCGAAUUAUAGAAUGGUUUGGGUUGGAAGGGACANUCUGUUGCUGAUUUCUGUGUAACUCCAGAGAUAUAUAAAUAUCUGCUGGAUGCAGUUGACUUGAGGAAAAAACUUCAUAGCUUCUGAUAAAUCAAAUUACUGAAUCACAGAAUAGUUGAGGUCAGAAGGCACCUCUGGAGAUCAUAUGGUCCAGCCUCUCUGCUCAAAGCAGGAACGGCUGUAGUGGAUAGUCCAACAUUGUCUAGUUGAAUUUUGAAUAUCUAAAAAAGGAGACAGUGUGGGCAACCUGUUCCAAUUCUUUAAUUAUCCUCACUGUAAAGUAAGUUUUUCAUAGUAAUAUAAAAAAAAUCCUAUUUCAGUAUACUGAUUAUAAGUUGUGUGUUCACUUGAGAGCAUGGAGAAGAAUCGGGUUCUAUCUUCUUCAUUCCUUCCUGUCUGCAAUUUCAGUCCUUGCAUCUCUUGUACUGGGGAGAACAGAAUUGCAUGCAAUACCCCAGAAGCAAAUCACCAGUGCUAUAUAAAAGGCAGUAGUCACAUCCCUCAGCUUUCUUGCAGUGCUCUUUUGUGUUAAAGGCCAGGUUACUGUUGACAUUCUUUGCUGCAAGGAAUGGUUUGGGUUGGAAGGGGCCUUUAAGAUCAUCNCAUCUUUCUAAAACUUUUUAGCUCCAGGAUAAAAUAGGCUGUGUUACAGGU
This 6523-nucleotide long non-coding RNA is filed under the name Pavo cristatus (Indian peafowl). RNAcentral describes it as "lncRNA (ENSPSTG00000015724.1)". The record is from RNAcentral. Lineage: Eukaryota; Metazoa; Chordata; Aves; Galliformes; Phasianidae.